AUUUCAGAUAAAAUAAUCUUUACCUGUUCCUCUAUUCAGAGGGCAGAUAGAACAUGAUGAUUUGAGUGCACAUGAUUCAUGAUUAGUGUCUCUGUGUGAUUAGGGAUUGCAACACUAUAAUCGCUCCUAUCUGAU
Molecule: small nucleolar RNA, 135 nt
Organism: Sorex araneus (European shrew)
Lineage: Eukaryota; Metazoa; Chordata; Mammalia; Eulipotyphla; Soricidae
Gene: U8
Rfam family: U8 small nucleolar RNA
About the family: U8 is a member of the C/D class of snoRNA which contain the C (UGAUGA) and D (CUGA) box motifs. U8 is the RNA component of a small complex (the U8 snoRNP) which is required for accumulation of mature large subunit ribosomal RNAs, 5.8S and 28S rRNAs. U8 RNA has been identified in human, mouse, rat and Xenopus.
Source: Ensembl